Molecule: transfer RNA, 82 nt
Filed under: Alkalinema sp. RU_4_3
Lineage: Bacteria; Bacillati; Cyanobacteriota; Cyanophyceae; Leptolyngbyales; Leptolyngbyaceae
Description: tRNA-Ser
Rfam family: tRNA
About the family: Transfer RNA (tRNA) molecules are approximately 80 nucleotides in length. Their secondary structure includes four short double-helical elements and three loops (D, anti-codon, and T loops). Further hydrogen bonds mediate the characteristic L-shaped molecular structure. tRNAs have two regions of fundamental functional importance: the anti-codon, which is responsible for specific mRNA codon recognition, and the 3' end, to which the tRNAs corresponding amino acid is attached (by aminoacyl-tRNA synthetases). tRNAs cope with the degeneracy of the genetic code in two manners: having more than one tRNA (with a specific anti-codon) for a particular amino acid; and 'wobble' base-pairing, i.e. permitting non-standard base-pairing at the 3rd anti-codon position.
Source: RNAcentral
GGAGAAUACGGCUAAUGGUUAGCAAAUCGUCUUGAAAACGAUCGCGGUUUUCAACCUGGAGGUUCGAUUCCUCUAUUCUCCG